UUUAUCAGAAUAGAGCUAUUGAACCAGAAUUUUCACGAUAUCUUGGAAUUAUUAUUCGAGAUAGAAAUAUUUGCCCAGUAGCUGUUGAGAAUUGGGCCAAAAUACCACAACAAAAUAAAGAUCAUAUGUGGGCAUCCAUUAAGGAUAAAUUUGAUGCUGAGGACAUGGAGCAAAAGAGAGAGUUAGUAAUAAGACACUUGCGCGAUUUGUGGAAUAAGUGGCGUGGUGACAUGCACAGGAAAUAUGUGAAAGAAAAUUCAUUGCAAGUUGCACUUAGAAAUAAACCUACAGAAAAAGCAAGCCAACAAAAUACACUUAACAGAGGCAAAAGAAAG
This is a long non-coding RNA of Asparagus officinalis (garden asparagus), 335 nucleotides long. RefSeq lists it as uncharacterized. The record is from RefSeq and is a predicted model, not a curated record. NCBI's taxonomy places the organism in Eukaryota, Viridiplantae, Streptophyta, Magnoliopsida, Asparagales, Asparagaceae. The transcript has 3 exons.